Molecule: non-coding RNA, 25 nt
Filed under: Drosophila melanogaster (fruit fly)
Lineage: Eukaryota; Metazoa; Arthropoda; Insecta; Diptera; Drosophilidae
Source: RNAcentral
UUCACCGUUGACUAGCCCCACACAU